Molecule: ribosomal RNA, 468 nt
Filed under: uncultured bacterium
Lineage: Bacteria
Description: SSU rRNA
Rfam family: Bacterial small subunit ribosomal RNA
Source: RNAcentral
AGGACGAACGCUGGCGGCGUGCUUAACACAUGCAAGUCGAGCGGAAAGGCCCUUCGGGGUACUCGAGCGGCGAACGGGUGAGUAACACGUGAGUAAUCUGCCCCUAGCUCUGGGAUAGCUCCGGGAAACCGGGAUUAAUACCAGAUACGACCACUUUAGACAUCUGUUGUGGUGGAAAGAAUUUUGGCUAGGGAUGAGCUCGCGGCCUAUCAGCUUGUUGGUGAGGUAACGGCUCACCAAGGCGACGACGGGUAGCCGGCCUGAGAGGGCGACCGGCCACACUGGGACUGAGACACGGCCCAGACUCCUACGGGAGGCAGCAGUGGGGAAUAUUGCGCAAUGGGGGAAACCCUGACGCAGCAACGCCGCGUGGAGGAUGAAGCCCCUUGGGGCGUAAACUCCUUUCGAUCGGGAAGAUAAUGACGGUACCGGAAGAAGAAGCCCGGCUAACUUCGUGCCAGCAGCCGC